RNAcentral lists this ribosomal RNA (440 nucleotides) under uncultured bacterium. RNAcentral's name for it is "partial 16S ribosomal RNA". It matches the Rfam family "Bacterial small subunit ribosomal RNA", at positions 338 to 795 of the family's 1533-position model. The record is from RNAcentral.
CCUACGGGUGGCAGCAGUGGGGAAUAUUCCACAAUGGGGGCAACCCUGAUGCAGCGACGCCGCGUGAGUGAAGAAGUAUUUCGGUACGUAAAGCUCUGUUAGCAGGGAAGAAAAUGACGGUACCUGACUAAGAAGCCCCGGCUAAUUACGUGCCAGCAGCCGCGGUAAUACGUAGGGGGCAAGCGUUAUCCGGAUUUACUGGGUGUAAAGGGAGCGUAGACGGUAGGGCAAGUCUGGAGGGAAAGGCGGGGGCUCAACCCCCGGACUGCUCUGGAAACUGCCAGGCUGGAGUGCAGGAGAGGUAAGUGGAAUUCCUAGUGUAGCGGUGAAAUGCGUAGAUAUUAGGAGGAACACCAGUGGCGAAGGCGGCUUACUGGACUGUAACUGACGUUGAGGCUCGAAAGCGUGGGGAGCAAACAGGAUUAGAUACCCGAGUAGUC